AUGAUCUUGAUUGCGAACAAAUGUUUCUAAACAUAUGAUGUUAUUUUGAUAUUAAAAAGAUUUAUCGUGCUUCAUACAUACAUUGCUGAAAAACUAUGACUAAGAAAUUAAUAUUUUGAAUAUACACUCCUGCAUUAUUAAAUGCUUCUAUCAUUAAAGAAGAAAAGAAAGUUUAAAAGAAAAUGCAUCUUUUGAGGGGGAGCUUUAAAUACUCAAUCUCUUUAUUGAAAAUUAUCUUCAAACUCUAAACUCUCAAAUGGAAUGAUUAAUUAAGGGGGAGAAAGAAAAUUUCAGAGGGAGAGAUCAUAUAGAACUUAAUCAUGUAAAUUCACAACUAAAGAUGAGAGAAAGAAUACUAAAUAUAAAGUGGUAUUAAACUUUGUGCUUCAUUGAAUAUCUUUUGAAAGUUGGAUUUUCAUCUGUACUUAAUUGGUAAUUCACUUGUUUUGAAAACUAAGUGAAAAGGAUUCUAUUUGUCUUAGUAUUGGAAAUUUACUUUGGAAUCUACUAAUGAGCUCUUAUUGGCUUGCACUUUAGUGUUUCAAUCAUGAGCCAAUUCAUUUUAAUUGAUUUUGAUGCUAUGAUCUUUAAAGGAGUAAAA
This 601-nucleotide long non-coding RNA is filed under the name Phoenix dactylifera (date palm). Its description in RNAcentral is "long non-coding RNA (PDAC_LNC019876)". The record is from RNAcentral. Lineage: Eukaryota; Viridiplantae; Streptophyta; Magnoliopsida; Arecales; Arecaceae.